RNAcentral lists this unclassified non-coding RNA (691 nucleotides) under Pomacea canaliculata. RNAcentral describes it as "uncharacterized LOC112563154, transcript variant X4". The record is from RNAcentral. Lineage: Eukaryota; Metazoa; Mollusca; Gastropoda; Architaenioglossa; Ampullariidae.
UUCUUGUGAUGCAGAGCCUGAUGCAAUACAAGAAGAAGUUCUACACAAGCCUCACAAGAGAGCCUCUGAUGGCACUAAGACUCGCUUCGGCGGUGGUAUUAAACCUGGCUAUGGCGUUUUCAGUGGGAGACGUCUUGCACCCGAUGUGAAGAGUGAUGCAAUACAAGAAGAACAAGUUCUACACAAGCCUCACAAGAGAGCCGCUGAUCCCACGAAGACUCGCUUUGGCGGUGGUAUUGGUGGUUCAUUGGGUAGACGUCUUGCACCCGAUGAGCCACACCCUGUCAUGUAAGCUGCUCAACGAUGGACGACCCACAUCACUGCUUCUGCCUAACCACUCACCGCUACAAAGACAAGCUACAAUCAUCACUUACUACAAACUUGUCUACUCCUUCUUUUGCUCCUACAAACAUGCGGCCUGGCAGAUGACUUGAAGAGACUUCUACUAAAGCUUUGUCUCCUGUACAGACAAACUAUAACCAGAGCUUACACAACUCUCACCUAGUGCUUGUAGUUUAGUAUCAGUCUGUCUUCUGAUGAUAAACCUUCCUGUAGUUCAAGUACUGCUUGAGGCUGAUAACAAGAGACACAUGUACUGGCAUUGACACUCACCAUAAUAAUGAACAACAAUGGCAACAUACAACCUUCUUUCUUUCUUCUUUCGCUAAAGCUUUUAAAAAAUAAACUCAGA